This 109-nucleotide ribosomal RNA is filed under the name bacterium. The record is from RNAcentral.
CAAGGGAGCUUUGCUGGGAGUGCUCCACCUGAUCCCAUUUCGAACUCAGAAGUGAAAUCUCCCAAGGCCGAUGAUAGUCCUUCGGGGCGAAAGUAGGUAGCUCUCUUAC